AGAGCGAACGCUGGCGGCAGGCCUAAAACAUGCAAGUCGAACGGACCCUUCGGGGUUAGUGGCGGACGGGUGAGUAACACGUGGGAACGUGCCUUUUGGUUCAGAACAACUCAGGGAAACUUGAGCUAAUACUGAAUAAGCCCUACGGGGGAAAGAUUUAUCGCCAUUAGAGCGGCCCGCGUUGGAUUAGCUAGUUGGUGAGGUAAAGGCUCACCAAGGCUACGAUCCAUAGCUGGUCUGAGAGGAUGAUCAGCCACACUGGGACUGAGACACGGCCCAGACUCCUACGGGAGGCAGCAGUUAGGAAUCUUGCGCAAUGGGCGAAAGCCUGACGCAGCCAUGCCGCGUGAAUGAUGAAGGUCUUAGGAUUGUAAAAUUCUUUCAGCGGGGAAGAUAAUGACUGUACCCGCAGAAGAAGCUCCGGCUAACUUCGCGCCAGCACGCCGC
Molecule: ribosomal RNA, 447 nt
Filed under: uncultured bacterium
Lineage: Bacteria
Description: SSU rRNA
Rfam family: Bacterial small subunit ribosomal RNA
Source: RNAcentral